CUUCAGUCAUCCCACACUGGGGACUGUUUCUCCAGGAAAUGCUGACUUUUGCUGACUUUCGUUCACAGUUUCAGCUGACUUCAAGAACCUUUGAUAAUUCAUUUUCACAAAGUUCCAACCUGAAGCCAGAGGCUCAGACAAGGAAAGAUGCUACUUUCUGGAGACCUGGAGUCCUGAAGAGAGUGCUGAGUCUGGCCCGAGGGGAAAACAGUUUAGAGGAAAGAGAAAGAAAUAAAAGUAAGAGAACAAAUAGCAAAGUAACAGCUACAUUGAAGGAUAGACGAGAGACCAGAUAACCUGAAAACACUACUUUUCUGUUCAGGAUUCCACCAUCCACAUCACGCAAGGUCAACUGAGAACAGCGGAGAGGUGAAGUCUAGUCUCUCGAGUCUAUUUAAAUCCUGACCAGCCUCUCCACUCCCGGCAUUCCUCUGCAUGCCCAGGAUGCUGUUUCAGGCUCCUCAUGGGAACAAGCAGUACCUCCAGAAUUGAUUGGAACUUUCUGCCUCCAGAAUCCUUUAAUCUUCAUUAACGGGAAGAGAAAUAUCUACUUGCAAAGACUUUCUCAGACUCAAAUAGUGAUGUUUUAAAUUUAAUCAAGAUAUAUGAAUCCAAGACAAUGAAGUACCUAUGUGUGAUAUUAUCAAGUUAUAAAUGACCAAAUUUUCAUCACCACCUUGAAGAAAAAGGCUUAAAAAAAAAAAAAACAAAAACAAAACCGAACCUACUUGCAAAUGUAAAAACCUGUAAAAUACCACCAGCCAAGCAUGGGAUUCGAAUAAUGCCUUUCAUCAAAGUAGAUCAUUUCUUUUAGGUGUAGAUGAAUGUCUUGGAAGUUAUUACACAGUGCACACUGUCAUAGUCACACUGGAGAGAAAUGUUAUAAUAUCUUGUAGGUGGUUUUUUUUGUUUUUGUUUGUGUGUGUGUGUGUGUGUUUGUGUGUGUGUUUAGUGACAAAUCAUAAGAUCAAUAAAAAUACA
This is a long non-coding RNA of Mustela lutreola (European mink), 981 nucleotides long. RefSeq lists it as uncharacterized. The transcript has 3 exons. Lineage: Eukaryota; Metazoa; Chordata; Mammalia; Carnivora; Mustelidae. The record is from RefSeq and is a predicted model, not a curated record.